This is a long non-coding RNA of Oncorhynchus tshawytscha (Chinook salmon), 2879 nucleotides long. The record is from Ensembl. NCBI's taxonomy places the organism in Eukaryota, Metazoa, Chordata, Actinopteri, Salmoniformes, Salmonidae.
UGGCUGUGUGUUGAGCUAUUUUGAGGGGACAGCAAAUGUACACUGUUAUACAAGCUGUACACUCACUACUUUACAUUGUAGCAAAGUGUCAUUUCUUCAGUGUUGUCACAUGAAAAGUUAUACUCAAAUAUUUACAAAAAUGUGAGGGGUGUACUCACUUUUGUGAUAUACUGUAUCUACUCUACGAACAAGCAUCAGACAGGGUGAUUGGAGCACAUGUUACACUGCACACCGACGUGUUCAAGAAGGACUCUCUAUUGCCGGACAGAUAGUUCUACGAGGCAACCACAUUACUAUGCCACGGGCAGCUCAGAAACAGACUUUGAUGUUCGCCCACGAAGGGCAUCAAGGGAUAGUAAAAAUAAAACAGACUGCGCACAAAAGUGUGGUGGCCAAACAUUGAUAAAGAGGUUGAACUGCUUGUGAAGUCCUGUGCAGCAUGUCAAGUCAAUGGCACACCACCAGCCAGGAGCUGCACCACAAGAGAACACCAUUGGGCUUGCUGAUGCUGAAAGGAAGGAGACGGGCUGACAGAACGCAGACAGAUCUAGGAGAGCAACUGAAAGCACAAUCCAACAAGGUUUGACCUCUCCUUUGACCCCCAGUACAGCACUGAAUCCUCGGGUUUGACAGUUAGUUUUACUUUGACCACCGACACUCUGAGUAAAGGUAAGUAUGGCCACUAGAUUUUAGUUUAGUGUGUAAUAAGUUGUAAUAAGUGUUGUGUGUUAGAUGUUAAUAAAGAGUAUCUCUUGCAUGUGUACAUGAGCUCAAAGCUCCACAGACAUUGUUGUGAAUUCACACAGUCAAGAAAGCAUUCCAGGUAUGUGUCCUUCUCUAGCUGCCUGCCUGUCUAUUUUACACAACUAAGACAACUGAGACAUGCAACCUCACAAUUUAAUGACACAUUUUCUGAGAUCAAAUCUUGAGAUGUGUAUUGACCCUGGGAAUACAAGCUAAUGACCUUCCCAAUGUCACCAAACAACCGUGCAAGUAUGGCAGGCAGCAGUGGGUGUGGCUUCUGGGGUAGGUGUUCAAAUACUCUUUCCUAUUGUACAUUCAUUCAAGGUUUUAACAAUGAUACGUCACAUUAUUAAAUUGUGAACAUGCAAUCUUUCCACUGAAUCAGUUGUGUUCUACUGACUCAGAAAUAAUGAAUACCUUUCUUCUUGUGUAAUCAGAUACAGAAUGAACUUUUAUUACUUUCCAGCAGGUUUAAAUGUUACUUCUCUUUGACCCCUGACAGCCCAGUGAGACCAACUACUAACUACUGCUUAGUUUACUAAUUAAUUUUAUUUCACUCUAAUUCACUAAAGCUCCAACUGGUUUACUCAUAAACCUAUUCAUAGCUGUUUGUACUUUCACUCUAAAUUGUUAUACUUUUCUUAGAUAUGAAACAAAUGUAAAUGUUUAAUCUCAUGUUUCUUCUCCUACGUCAGGUGUGUUGGUCAUCUUUAGUUAGCAAAACUGAAACAAGUAGACUAACUUUAUCUUACCCAGGUUUUGUAUAAACAGUAUAUUUAUUAAUUACAAAUGUGCACACAGGUCAAAGCUCCACAGAGUGUUGUGAAUACAAUUUUUUUUGUCAAAAAAUAGUUCUGUGUAGGUAUCCUUAUUUAGUAAUCCCACGGCAAAAAUACACUUGCCUUUUCCUACUGCACUAACUUUGCUGAUAACUACCUUGUUGAGGGAAAAUCUAGUUGCUACGAUUGUGAUAUGUUGUCUCACCUAUCUUAAGUUGAAAUAACGGAUGUAAGUCACUCUGGAUAAGAGCCUCUGCUAAAUUACUUAAAUGUCAAAUGUUUAACUGACUAACUGUCUUUUCCCACACAUGAAAACAGAAACAUUUUCUCAGACUAAUAAUAAUGUGGUAUUCUGACACCUGUUUAACGUUUAAGUAUUUACUUUAGGAUAAAAGGCUGAUGACCUCACCUGUUGUCAUCAUGUCACCAAACAGCGCUCCAAAUAUGGCAGGCAGCAGUGUGUAUGGCUUCUGGAGUUGCCGUGUUCCUGAUGGGACUGACAGCUGUCUGUCUCUGCAGAGGACCGGUGAUUUGUUGAUGGGAGCUGUGAGCAGUACAGGCAUGUUUGAAUUAAGGGAUGCUGGAAUCUAUUCUCUCAUCACCUAUGUACCGUCCAAAUUACUGCCCUCGUGAGAAUUGAAGAGAAUUGAAAGUAAUCUGAAAAAGACAAUUCUGAUACGUACCACAUAUACAGCUCAAUCCCUGACAGACCAGCAACCUCAGCCCAGCAUGAUGGGUUUUACAGUCUGCAGACACACUGACACUACACCUCUGGCUUUCUGUAGCUGAAUCUUACAGAAACACUCUUGCUUUCAGGAUGUCCUUUAUUUAUCAAACAUCAUGUCACUGUAAAUAAGUAUCUACUAUGUCUACUGCUGUACCGUUUCUAAUCAUAAGCGACAAUAGAGGCCACCAUCCAAUGGCAAAAUGUGUAGAACUGCAGGAAAUUAGCUUUAAAACAAGUAGACUUGUUUUAAACGAGUAGACUUGCAGUACUCUCCCCGCCAUGAGGUGGGCCACUAAAAUGUUUUGCCUGCGAGGUGGGCAAAUCUCGCAUAGGGCCCCCAAAAUGCAAGAAACUGCCCUUAUCUACUGUAUCUCAUAUGUACACCUAGUUUCUGUUACAUGCCUAUCCAUAAUGAUGGUUACUCUGUUAGUGUUUUUAUUCAUUGGUUUUGGAGGGGUCCGGGGCAUACUCCCCUUUAAACAUUUUUGUUAUUCCCCCCUCCGGUAAAUGCUAAAUAUAUACUGUAUUUAUAUAUAUUCUGUCAUGUGUUUUAUACUGUUGGAUAGAAUGAAUUAAUACAAAUGUAUUUGAAAUCCAAAUAGAUAGAAAUAUAAUAUUUUAGUUUUAAU